Molecule: ribosomal RNA, 1058 nt
Filed under: uncultured bacterium
Lineage: Bacteria
Description: bacterial SSU rRNA
Rfam family: Bacterial small subunit ribosomal RNA
Source: RNAcentral
GAGUUUGAUCCUGGCUCAGGAUGAACGCUAGCGGCAGGCUUAAUAUAUGCAAGUCGUGGGGCAGCAGGGGUAGCAAUACCCGCUGGCGACCGGCAAACGGGUGCGGAACACGUACGCAACCUUCCUUUAACUGGAGAAUAGCCCCUCGAAAGAGGGAUUAAUACUCCGUAACAUAUACAUGUGGCAUCACAAGUAUAUUAUAGCUCCGGCGGUUAAAGAUGGGCGUGCGCCUGAUUAGAUAGUUGGCGGGGUAACGGCCCACCAAGUCUGCGAUCAGUAACUGGUGUGAGAGCACGACCAGUCACACGGGCACUGAGACACGGGCCCGACUCCUACGGGAGGCAGCAGUAAGGAAUAUUGGUCAAUGGACGCAAGUCUGAACCAGCCAUGCCGCGUGGAGGAUUAAGGCCCUCUGGGUUGUAAACUCCUUUUAUCUGGGAAGAAAUGCAUUUUUUCUAAAGUGCUUGACGGUACCAGAGGAAUAAGCACCGGCUAACUCCGUGCCAGCAGCCGCGGUAAUACGGAGGGUGCAAGCGUUAUCCGGAUUCACUGGGUUUAAAGGGUGCGUAGGUGGGUUGGUAAGUCAGUGGUGAAAUCUCCGUGCUUAACAUGGAAACUGCCAUUGAUACUACUGGUCUUGAAUUUUCAGAAGGUAAGCGGAAUAUGUCAUGUAGCGGUGAAAUGCUUAGAUAUGACAUAGAACACCAAUUGCGAAGGCAGCUUACUGCAGGAACAUUGACACUGAGGCACGAAAGCGUGGGGAUCAAACAGGAUUAGAUACCCUGGUAGUCCACGCCCUAAACGAUGGAUACUCGACAUUUGCGAUACACAGUAAGUGUCUGANCGAAAGCAUUAAGUAUCCCACCUGGGAAGUACGACCCCAGGGUGAAACUCAANGAAUUGGCNGGGGUCCNCACAACGGUGGANCAUGUGGUUUAUUCAUGAUCNCGAGNANCUUACUGGGCUAAANGUAUCUGACCUGGUGAAACUCAUUUNUAACAUACNAAAUUNAANGGCUNCANGCUUCCCCCNCNGCCNGAGGUUGGUUAGUCCCCCAC